UGGGGAAUUUUGGACAAUGGGCGAAAGCCUGAUCCAGCAAUGCCGCGUGUGUGAAGAAGGCCCUCGGGUUGUAAAGCACUUUUGUCCGGAAAGAAAUCCUUGGCUCUAAUACAGUCGGGGGAUGACGGUACCGGAAGAAUAAGCACCGGCUAACUACGUGCCAGCAGCCGCGGUAAUACGUAGGGUGCAAGCGUUAAUCGGAAUUACUGGGCGUAAAGCGUGCGCAGGCGGUUUGCUAAGACCGAUGUGAAAUCCCCGGGCUCAACCUGGGAACUGCAUUGGUGACUGGCAGGCUAGAGUAUGGCAGAGGGGGGUUAGAAUUCCACGUGUAGCAGUGAAAUGCGUAGAGAUGUGGAGGAAUACCGAUGGCGAAGGCAGCCCCCUGGGCCAAUACUGACGCUCAUGCACGAAAGCGUGGGGAGCAAACAGGAUUAGAUACCCUGGUAGUCCACGCCCUAAACGAUGUCAACUAGUUGUUGGGGAUUCAUUUCCUUAGUAACGUAGCUAACGCGUGAAGUUGACCGCCUGGGGAGUACGGUCGCAAGAUUAAAACUCAAAGGAAUUGACGGGGUCAUAGCUGUUUCCU
Molecule: ribosomal RNA, 586 nt
Filed under: uncultured bacterium
Lineage: Bacteria
Description: partial 16S ribosomal RNA
Rfam family: Bacterial small subunit ribosomal RNA
Source: RNAcentral